Sparus aurata (gilthead seabream) is the source of this 2555-nucleotide long non-coding RNA. The record is from Ensembl. Lineage: Eukaryota; Metazoa; Chordata; Actinopteri; Spariformes; Sparidae.
CUUUUUUUUCAAGCCACAGCCAAGCUACCAGCUGAAACCCAUGCCACAGUCACAGCCAAGCUACCAGCCCCAGCCCCAGCCCAUGCCGUAGCCGCAGCUCGGCUACCAGCCCAGGCCUCAGUCUCAACCACAGUGUCUGCCAAUCCUGAAAUGUCCCCUUUCUGGGGAACCCGGCUGGCUUACAAGGCCCCACCGAGAAAGCGACGAGCCCGUCCACGUCCUGGCUCCCUGAAGUCAGGCCCUCAGUCGGCGGCCCGGUCGACACCUGCCAGUGGCCUUCAGUCGGCGGCCCGGUCGACACCUGCCAGUGGCCUUCAGUCGGCGGCCCGGUCGACACCUGCCAGUGGCCUUCAGUCGGCGGCCCGGUCGACACCUGCCAGUGGCCUUCAGUCGGCGGCCCGGUCGACACCUGCCAGUGGCCUUCAGUCGGCAGCCCGGUCGACACCUGCCAGUGGCCUUCAGUCGGCGGCCCGGUCGACACCUGCCAGUGGCCUUCAGUCGGCGGCCCGGUCGACACCUGCCAGUGGCCUUCAGUCGGCGGCCCGGUCGACGCCUGCCAGUGGUCUUCAGUCGGCGGCCCGGUCGACGCCUGCCAGUGGUCUUCAGUCGGCGGCCCGGUCGACGCCUGCCAGUGGCCUUCAGUCGGCGGCCCGGUCGACACCUGCCAGUGGCCUCCAGUCGGCGGACCUGAUGGCGCCUGUUCCUGCCUGUGGCCUUCAGUCGGCGGACCUGAUGGCGCCUGUUCCUGCCUGUGGCCUUCAGUCGGCGGACCUGAUGGCGCCUGUUCCUGCCUGUGGCCUUCAGUCGGCGGACCUGAUGGCGCCUGUCCCUGCUCCUCAGUCGGAGGCCCGGCCGAGGCCCGUCCCGGCACCUCGGUCGGAGGCCCGGCCGAGGCCCGUCCCGGCACCUCGGUCGGAGGCCCGGCCGAGGCCCGUCCCUGCACCUCGGUUGGUGGACCGGCCGAGGCCCAUGCCAAGUCCCGUCCCUGCUCCUCGGUCGGAGGACCGGCCGAGGCCCAUGCCAAGUCCCGUCCCUGCUCCUCGGUCGGAGGACCGGCCGAGGCCCGUCCCUGCUCCUCGGUCGGAGGACCGUCCGAGGCCCAUGUCAAGUCCUGUCCCUGCACCUCGGUUGGUGGACCGGCCGAGGCCCAUGCCAAGUCCCGUCCCUGCUCCUCGGUCGGAGGACCGGCCGAGGCCCAUGCCAAGUCCCGUCCCUGCUCCUCGGUCGGAGGACCGGCCGAGGCCCGUCCCUGCUCCUCGGUCGGAGGACCGUCCGAGGCCCAUGUCAAGUCCUGUCCCAGCACCUCGGUCGGAGGACCGGCCGAGGCCCGUCCCAGCACCUCGGUCGGAGGUUCGGCCGAGGCCCGUCCCUGCACCUCGGUCGGAGGUUCGGCCGAGGCCCGUUCCUGCACCUCGGUCGGAGGUCCGGCCGAGGCCCGUUCCUGCACCUCGGUCGGAGGACCGGCCGAGGCCCAUGCCAAGUUCAGACCCUGCACCUCGGUCGGAGGCCCAGCCGAGGCCCGUUCCUGCACCUCGGUCGGAGGCCCGGCCGAGGCCCAUGCCAAGUUCAGACCCUGCACCUCGGUCGGAGGCCCGGCCGAGGCCCGUUCCUGCACCUCGGUCGGAGGACCGGCCGAGGCCUGUCCCUGCUCCUCGGUCAGAGGCCCGGACGAGUCCCACGCCAAGUCCAGCGCCUGCACCUCGGUCGGAGGCCCGGCCGAGUCCCACGCCAAGUCCAGCGCCUGCUCCUCGGUCGGAGGCCCGGCCGAGUCCCACGCCAAGUCCAGCGCCUGCUCCUCGGUCGGAGGCCCGGCCGAGUCCCACGCCAAGUCCAGCGCCUGCUCCUCGGUCGGAGGCCCGGCCGAGUCCCACGCCAAGUCCAGCGCCUGCUCCUCGGUCGGAGGCCCGGCCGAGUCCCACGCCAAGUCCAGCGCCUGCUCCUCGGUCGGAGGCCCGGCCGAGUCCCACGCCAAGUCCAGCGCCUGCUCCUCGGUCGGAGGCCCGGCCGAGGCCAGUACCAAGUCCCGUGCCAAGUCCAGUGCCAGCUCCUUGGUCGGAGGCCAGGCCGAGGUCGUCUGCCGCCAGCGACCCUUUAUUGGCUCACAGGCCACCAGCUCCCUGCGAACCUCUGUUGGUGGUCCGGCCAAAGCCCAGGAGGGUUUCCCAGUCAGCGAUCCGGCCUCAAGAGGGCUUCAGCCUUCGCCUCCGCCGCCGGCCUCCAGUGGGUCCCAGCCCACGUCUUCGCCGCCGGCCUCCAGUGGGUCCCAGCCCACGUCUUCGCCACCGGCCUCCAGUGGGUCCCAGCCCACGUCUUCGCCGCCGGCCUCCAGUGGGUCCCAGCCCACGCCUUCGCCUUCGCCGCCGGCCUCCAGUGGGUGCCAGCCCACGCCUUCGCCUUCGCCGCCGGCCUCCAGUGGGUGCCAGCCCACGCCUUCGCCUUCGCCGCCGGCCUCCAGUGGGUGCCAGCCCACGCCUUCGCCUUCGCCGCCGGCCUCCAGUGGGUGCCAGCCCACGCCUUCGCCUUCGCCGCCGGCCUCCAGUGGGUGCCAGCCCACG